GACGAACGCUGGCGGCGUGCUUAACACAUGCAAGUCGAACGGAAAGGCCCUGCUUUUGUGGGGUGCUCGAGUGGCGAACGGGUGAGUAACACGUGAGUAACCUGCCCUUGACUUUGGGAUAACUUCAGGAAACUGGGGCUAAUACCGGAUAGGAGCUCCUGCUGCAUGGUGGGGGUUGGAAAGUUUCGGCGGUUGGGGAUGGACUCGCGGCUUAUCAGCUUGUUGGUGGGGUAGUGGCUUACCAAGGCUUUGACGGGUAGCCGGCCUGAGAGGGUGACCGGACACAGUGGGAAGGAUUGGAGGCUGGGGCUCAGACGGGAGGAAGCAGUGGGGGAGAGGGCAGAAGGGGCGGAGGCUGAAUGCAGUAACGGCGAGUGAGGGAGGGUGGGCGGCGGUAUGGAAUAAGGUUUCGCCGGUGAAGAACGGUGAGGCAGGCGAAUGGGUAGAGAAGCAGAGCACAAGUCUAAA
RNAcentral lists this ribosomal RNA (468 nucleotides) under uncultured bacterium. RNAcentral's name for it is "partial 16S ribosomal RNA". The stretch from base 13 to 373 matches the Rfam family "Bacterial small subunit ribosomal RNA", at positions 40 to 399 of the family's 1533-position model. The record is from RNAcentral.